AGUGAACGCUGGCGGUAGGCCUAACACAUGCAAGACGAACGGCAGCACAGUAAGAGCUUGCUCUUACGGGUGGCGAGUGGCGGACGGGUGAGGAAUACAUCGGAAUCUACUUUUUCGUGGGGGAUAACGUAGGGAAACUUACGCUAAUACCGCAUACGACCUACGGGUGAAAGCAGGGGAUCUUCGGACCUUGCGCGAUUGAAUGAGCCGAUGUCGGAUUAGCUAGUUGGCGGGGUAAAGGCCCACCAAGGCGACGAUCCGUAGCUGGUCUGAGAGGAUGAUCAGCCACACUGGAACUGAGACACGGUCCAGACUCCUACGGGAGGCAGCAGUGGGGAAUAUUGGACAAUGGGCGCGAGCCUGAUCCAGCCAUACCGCGUGGGUGAAGAAGGCCUUCGGGUUGUAAAGCCCUUUUGUUGGGAAAGAAAAGCAGCAGGUUAAUACCCCGCUGUUCUGACGGUACCCAAAGAAUAAGCACCGGCUAACUUCGUG
RNAcentral lists this ribosomal RNA (492 nucleotides) under uncultured bacterium. RNAcentral's name for it is "partial 16S ribosomal RNA". It matches the Rfam family "Bacterial small subunit ribosomal RNA", at positions 29 to 507 of the family's 1533-position model. The record is from RNAcentral.